UACGAAGGGGGCGAGCGUUGUUCGGAAUUACUGGGCGUAAAGGGCGCGUAGGCGGUGUGUCAAGUCAGGCGUGAAAGCCCCGGGCUCAACCUGGGAACGGCGCUUGAGACUGGCACGCUCGAGUUCGGGAGAGGAUGGUGGAAUUCCCAGUGUAGAGGUGAAAUUCGUAGAUAUUCGGAAGAACACCAGUGGCGAAGGCGACUUACUGGACGAUUGUUGACGCUGAGGUGCGAAAGCGUGGGGAGCAAACAGG
Molecule: ribosomal RNA, 253 nt
Filed under: uncultured bacterium
Lineage: Bacteria
Description: partial 16S ribosomal RNA
Rfam family: Bacterial small subunit ribosomal RNA
Source: RNAcentral